Long non-coding RNA from Rhipicephalus sanguineus (brown dog tick), 1309 nucleotides. RefSeq lists it as uncharacterized. The record is from RefSeq and is a predicted model, not a curated record. Lineage: Eukaryota; Metazoa; Arthropoda; Arachnida; Ixodida; Ixodidae. The transcript has 3 exons.
AAGAAAAGGACUUGUCAAGAAUACAGGAAGCAGCAGCGCGAGAUGCCCGUGCCUCUGCUAGACAUUGUCAUGAACCAACUUCUCAAGGAACAUGUCGGGAACCUGCCCGAGCUGUGCAUGGGCUACCUUGUGAAGAGAACCCCGAUGAUGACCUAUAUGAUGUACGACAGCAUGGCCAGGAAACUGCAUCACAACCAUGUCCUAGUGGUGCAACUGGUACAGCUGCUUCCUCACUAGACCAGGAGGCUGCAGAAGCCCUUGUUCAGCUUUCACAGUUCAUCCAGAAUGUACCAGACAUGUGUACACAAGACAAGAGCAUCCAGGUCGAUGUGGACUCCUUUAUGGGGAAGAAGUUCAGGCUUGUAGAUUUACUCACAUCAGACAACAUUGUUCUUGCUUUUACUGGUGUAUCAAUGAAUCUGCUGAUAGCAGUUAGUAAUGAAGUAGGCAGAAUUGAAGAGGCAGUCACUGAAAUGUCAACUCUUGAACGCGUUAUUCUCGUUCUUGUACGUUUGAAAACGUGUUUACCCUUUGUGUGUUUGGCCCCCCUAUUUUGUGUGAGCAGAACAACUGUCUCUCGCCACUUUUACAGCACACUUCAUAACCUUGCAGCGGUUCUGGAAUCUGCAAUUCCAUGGCCAGAUAAACAGGAAAUUGCAAGAAAUCUGCCACAGUGCUUUGAAGAAUACAGGGACGUACGUGUUGUGCUAGACUGUACUGAGGUCACAGUUGAAAAAUCGCACUGUGCUUCGUGUAGAAUUCUAACGUAUUCGCAUUACAAGGAACGCACACAGCAAAGCUUCUUGUUGGUGUCUCGCCUGCUGGUUUAAUCACUUUUGUCAGCCGUGGUUUUGGAGGCAGAGCGUCAGACAGAGCCUGCGUUGAAAAAUCGGCAGUUCUAGCAAAACUCAACAGUUUUGAAGAUGACGUAAUGGUUGAUAAAGGUUUCAACAUAGACGUAUUAUGUGAAAACCUCGGGCUGGGGGUUGUGCAGCCUCCAUUUCUUCGUGGACAGCUGCAGUUCACCGCAAAAGACUCAGAAAAGACAUUAAAAAUAGCCAGGGCACGUGUGCACGUCGAGCGGGCAAUCCAAAGGAUGAAACUUUUUAAAGUUCUGAGGGAACCUGUGCCUUGGGAAAUGGUUGGUGCCCUUGAUGACAUAUUUAUUGUGAUUGGUGGAAUUGUAAAUCUCUCCACUCCUAUUCUCUCUGAGAAAAGGUUCUAGUGAAAUUAUGGACGAAUCUGUUGUGUCCGCAAGCGAAUUUUCUGCUGCUUCUAGCAGAAGUGACUCGGAGGAUAAUGUCAAAUC